AUACGGAGGGGGUUAGCGUUGUUCGGAAUUACUGGGCGUAAAGCGCACGUAGGCGGAUUGGAAAGUUGGGGGUGAAAUCCCAGGGCUUAACCCUGGAACUGCCUCCAAAACUAACAGUCUAGAGUUCGAGAGAGGUGAGUGGAAUUCCAAGUGUAGAGGUGAAAUUCGUAGAUAUUUGGAGGAACACCAGUGGCGAAGGCGGCUCACUGGCUCGAUACUGACGCUGAGGUGCGAAAGCGUGGGGAGCAAACAGGAUUAGAAACCCUAGUAGUCC
RNAcentral lists this ribosomal RNA (274 nucleotides) under uncultured bacterium. Its description in RNAcentral is "partial 16S ribosomal RNA". It matches the Rfam family "Bacterial small subunit ribosomal RNA", at positions 523 to 796 of the family's 1533-position model. The record is from RNAcentral.